RNAcentral lists this small RNA (108 nucleotides) under Arabidopsis thaliana (thale cress). RNAcentral's name for it is "ATSL020480". Lineage: Eukaryota; Viridiplantae; Streptophyta; Magnoliopsida; Brassicales; Brassicaceae. The record is from RNAcentral.
UUUUGUUUGGAGCCAUGUUUUCCUUCUCUUUAUGUAGAGUCUACCUUUUUUUGAAUUUUUUUUUGACGAUCGCAUUCAUCGAUCACAUCAAUUCUCCGCUCUGUUGCG